UACAGUGUGUCCCAAAAAAGUACCCUCUAUAAAAAGUAUCUAUCCUAUUGUUAUAAGGGUACUUUUUUGGGGACACACUGUA
Molecule: microRNA precursor, 82 nt
Filed under: Paramuricea clavata
Lineage: Eukaryota; Metazoa; Cnidaria; Anthozoa; Malacalcyonacea; Plexauridae
Source: RNAcentral